Molecule: transfer RNA, 20 nt
Filed under: Aechmea gracilis
Lineage: Eukaryota; Viridiplantae; Streptophyta; Magnoliopsida; Poales; Bromeliaceae
Description: partial tRNA-Leu
Source: RNAcentral
AAAAUCCGUCGACUUAUAUC